GACGAACGCUGGCGGCGUACUUAACACAUGCAAGUCGAACGGUAAGGCCCUUCGGGGUACACGAGUGGCGAACGGGUGAGUAACACGUGGGUGAUCUGCCCUGCACUUCGGGAUAAGCCUGGGAAACUGGGUCUAAUACCGGAUAGGACCACUGCCUGCAUGGGUGGUGGUGGAAAGCUUUUGCGGUGUGGGAUGGGCCCGCGGCCUAUCAGCUUGUUGGUGGGGUGAUGGCCUACCAAGGCGACGACGGGUAGCCGGCCUGAGAGGGUGACCGGCCACACUGGGACUGAGAUACGGCCCAGACUCCUACGGGAGGCAGCAGUGGGGAAUAUUGCACAAUGGGCGCAAGCCUGAGGCAGCGACGCCGCGUGAGGGAUGACGGCCUUCGGGUUGUAAACCUCUUUCAGCACCGACGAAGCGCAAGUGACGGUAGGUGCAGAAGAAGGACCGGCCAACUACGUACCAGCCGCCGCCGCGG
This 478-nucleotide ribosomal RNA is filed under the name uncultured bacterium. Its description in RNAcentral is "partial 16S ribosomal RNA". It matches the Rfam family "Bacterial small subunit ribosomal RNA", at positions 28 to 523 of the family's 1533-position model. The record is from RNAcentral.